RNAcentral lists this ribosomal RNA (220 nucleotides) under Lacticaseibacillus zeae. RNAcentral describes it as "Lactobacillus zeae partial 16S ribosomal RNA". It matches the Rfam family "Bacterial small subunit ribosomal RNA", at positions 1 to 194 of the family's 1533-position model. Lineage: Bacteria; Bacillati; Bacillota; Bacilli; Lactobacillales; Lactobacillaceae. The record is from RNAcentral.
AUAUUUAUAUGAGAGUUUGAUCCUGGCUCAGGAUGAACGCUGGCGGCGUGCCUAAUACAUGCAAGUCGAACGAGUUUUGGUCGAUGAACGGUGCUUGCACUGUGAUUCAACUUAAAACGAGUGGCGGACGGGUGAGUAACACGUGGGUAACCUGCCCUUAAGUGGGGGAUAACAUUUGGAAACAGAUGCUAAUACCGCAUAAAUCCAAGAACCGCAUGGU